UACGUAGGGUGCAAGCGUUGUCCGGAAUUAUUGGGCGUAAAGAGCUCGUAGGCGGUUUGUCGCGUCUGCUGUGAAAACUCGGGGCUCAACUCCGAGCUUGCAGUGGGUACGGGCAGACUAGAGUGCGGUAGGGGAGACUGGAAUUCCUGGUGUAGCGGUGGAAUGCGCAGAUAUCAGGAGGAACACCGGUGGCGAAGGCGGUUCUCUGGGCAUGACCUGACGCUGAGGAGCGAAAGCAUGGGGAGCGAACAGG
This 253-nucleotide ribosomal RNA is filed under the name uncultured bacterium. Its description in RNAcentral is "partial 16S ribosomal RNA". It matches the Rfam family "Bacterial small subunit ribosomal RNA", at positions 524 to 776 of the family's 1533-position model. The record is from RNAcentral.